GGUUAAGUUAGAAAGGGCGCACGGUGGAUGCCUUGGCACUAGGAGCCGAAGAAGGACGGGACUAACACCGAUAUGCUUUGGGGAGCUGUACGUAAGCGUUGAUCCAGAGAUUUCCGAAUGGGGGAACCCACUAUCUUUAGUCGGAUAGUAUCCUUACGUGAAUACAUAGCGUGAGGAAGGCAGACCCAGGGAACUGAAACAUCUAAGUACCUGGAGGAAGAGAAAGAAAAAUCGAUUUCCUGAGUAGCGGCGAGCGAAACGGAAAGAGCCCAAACCAAGAAGCUUGCUUCUUGGGGUUGUAGGACACUCUAUACGGAGUUACAAAAGAAAGUUAUAAAUGAAGCGGUCUGGAAAGGCCCGCCAAAGACGGUAACAGCCCGGUAGUUGAAAUGGCUUUCCCUCCAGAGUGGAUCCUGAGUACGGCGGAACACGUGAAAUUCCGUCGGAAUCCGGGAGGACCAUCUCCCAAGGCUAAAUACUCCCUAGUGACCGAUAGUGAACCAGUACCGUGAGGGAAAGGUGAAAAGCACCCCGGAAGGGGAGUGAAACAGUUCCUGAAACCGUGUGCCUACAAGUAGUUAGAGCCCGUUAAUGGGUGAUAGCGUGCCUUUUGUAGAAUGAACCGGCGAGUUACGAUUUGUUGCAAGGUUAAGCGGAAAAAGCGGAGCCGUAGCGAAAGCGAGUCUGAAUAGGGCGCAUAAGUAACAGGUCGUAGACCCGAAACCAGGUGAUCUACCCAUGUCCAGGAUGAAGGUAAGGUAAUACUUACUGGAGGUCCGAACCCACGCACGUUGAAAAGUGCGGGGAUGAGGUGUGGGUAGCGGAGAAAUUCCAAUCGAACUUGGAGAUAGC
This 852-nucleotide ribosomal RNA is filed under the name Listeria monocytogenes. RNAcentral's name for it is "partial 23S ribosomal RNA". It matches the Rfam family "Bacterial large subunit ribosomal RNA", at positions 1 to 849 of the family's 2925-position model. Lineage: Bacteria; Bacillati; Bacillota; Bacilli; Caryophanales; Listeriaceae. The record is from RNAcentral.